This 83-nucleotide transfer RNA is filed under the name invertebrate metagenome. Its description in RNAcentral is "tRNA-Tyr-GTA". It matches the Rfam family "tRNA". From Rfam's summary of the family: Transfer RNA (tRNA) molecules are approximately 80 nucleotides in length. Their secondary structure includes four short double-helical elements and three loops (D, anti-codon, and T loops). Further hydrogen bonds mediate the characteristic L-shaped molecular structure. tRNAs have two regions of fundamental functional importance: the anti-codon, which is responsible for specific mRNA codon recognition, and the 3' end, to which the tRNAs corresponding amino acid is attached (by aminoacyl-tRNA synthetases). tRNAs cope with the degeneracy of the genetic code in two manners: having more than one tRNA (with a specific anti-codon) for a particular amino acid; and 'wobble' base-pairing, i.e. permitting non-standard base-pairing at the 3rd anti-codon position. The record is from RNAcentral.
GGAGGGGUGCCCGAGCGGUUAAAGGGGACGGACUGUAAAUCCGUUGGCUAGUGCCUACGUUGGUUCAAAUCCAACCCCCUCUA